Vespa mandarinia (Asian giant hornet) is the source of this 1640-nucleotide long non-coding RNA. NCBI's taxonomy places the organism in Eukaryota, Metazoa, Arthropoda, Insecta, Hymenoptera, Vespidae. The record is from RefSeq and is a predicted model, not a curated record.
GAGAGAGAGAGAGAGAGAGAGAGAGAGAAAGAGAGACGUGUUCGUGCAUUAACGAAUUCAAGGAAAUUUAUGCGAAUACUUUAUUAAAUGAUCGUCUCAAUCAUUUUUCUUUUGUUACAUUAUCAUGUUAAGAAAUAAUUGAAAUAAAUCAUUUUAUGAAUCAUUUUAUGUUACGUACGUGUGUUUACGUGGAUAACAAUAAAAUGUUUGAUUUAACGAUCACGAAAUUAUCGUCGCGAAUUAUCCAAGGUCGGAGUAUUCUGGUAUCUGUACAAAAAAAAAAAAAAAAAAAAAGAAAAAAAAAAGAAGAGAAAAAAAGGAAAAAGAAAGAAUGAAAGAAGAAAAAAUAAAAAAAGAAAAAAAUGUCGCCGACUUGAACUCGCCAUUUGGCCAACACCGUGAUUUUCUUUCAAACAAGUCUCUGUCUCUCUCUCUCUCUCCCUCCCUCUCUCUCUCUCUCUCUCUCUCCUCGAGGGGAAGCCUUUACUAUCCUCACAUUAACAUGUCUCAGUUUUUUGCCGUUAUUGAGAUUCCAAGAAUAAAGACAGUCUCCCUCCAACAGUUGGUGAAACAGGAUAAUUAGUUCAGACCAUAAAUGUCAAUCUCUCAGUUUAUACGAACUCCCCUACUUUCGUUCUCGUGUACCCGAUCGAACAACGUACACGACUCAACUCGAUUCAUUUCGAUCGAUCAUCGGAAAGGUAUUCUAUCGUUAUCAGGAGCGCUUAAUAACGGCUAUAAAGCAUUACGAAAGCGUGGAAAUAUCCAGACUCGUUGGGAAUAUCUUCGUAGAGAAAGAGAUAGAUAUAUAAUACUACGUAGGUAUGUAUAACCCUCUACGUGUAAGAGUGUACAUGCGAGUUAGAGUGAGUGAGUGAGAGUGAGAGAAAGAGAGAGAGAGAGAGAGAGAGAGAGAGAGAGAGAGAGAGAGAGAUAGAUCGAAAAGCGUCGGUUCAACCCCGUCAAACAUUCGAGAGGCCAACCUGCUUUUUCUCUCGUUCCACGCCAUUGGCUGCGUGCGAAGUGAUUAAAAACAUGGGAAUGGCUGGCUCUCGCAGUCCGACCAACCCUCUUUUCAUUCUCUCUUUCUCUCUCUCUCUCUCUCUCUCUCUCUCUCUCUCUCUCUCUCUCUUUAUUUUUCUCUUUUUCGCUAGCAACUCUCUUUCUUUAUUUCUCAUCUCUGUCUUUCUCUUUUCGUCCACCUAGCAGUAGAUGUACGUGGCUCGCGUUUCCUACAGGACUCUCGAAGCUCUGUUUUCGGCUGGGUCUGGUUGGCCACCGCAAAUGCCCCAGGGAUUUGCUCUGCUCCCAGAGUAUUUUAUCCCUCUGAGGGAUGAUGGGGGGAGGGAAAGAGGGAAUGUGAGAGAGAGAGAGAGAGAGAGAAAUAGAUGGAUAGAGUGAAACAGGGUGGGGUUACCUGCAUAUUCGCAUUUUCCACGAUGCUUCCAGAGGAUUUUCUCCACCCUCGAGUCUCUCAAAAUAAACCACCCUCUCGCGAGAAAGGGGAGGGAAAACACAUUUCUGAGGGGUUCGACCGGUACGACGAUUAGCGCUGUUUCUAAUGGAGGCAGGGGGAGAAAAAAAGAAAAGAAAAAAAAACAAAAAAAAAAAGAACAAAAGAAGAAAAAAUAAGAAGAAGA